CGGCGAGUGAAGCGGCAACAGCUCAAAUUUGAAAUCUGGCUCUUUUAGGGUCCGAGUUGUAAUUUGCAGAGGGCGCUUUGGCUUUGGCAGCGGUCCAAGUUCCUUGGAACAGGACGUCACAGAGGGUGAGAAUCCCGUACGUGGUCGCUAGCUAUUGCCGUGUAAAGCCCCUUCGACGAGUCGAGUUGUUUGGGAAUGCAGCUCUAAAUGGGAGGUAAAUUUCUUCUAAAGCUAAAUAUUGGCCAGAGACCGAUAGCGCACAAGUAGAGUGAUCGAAAGAUGAAAAGCACUUUGGAAAGAGAGUCAAACAGCACGUGAAAUUGUUGAAAGGGAAGCGCUUGCAGCCAGACUUGCUUGCAGUUGCUCAUCCGGGCUUUUGCCCGGUGCACUCUUCUGUAGGCAGGCCAGCAUCAGUUUGGGCGGUGGGAUAAAGGUCUCUGUCACGUACCUCUCUUCGGGGAGGCCUUAUAGGGGAGACGACAUACCACCAGCCUAGACUGAGGUCCGCGCAUCUGCUAGGAUGCUGGCGUAAUGGCUGUAAGCGGCCCGUCUUGAAACACGGACCAAGGAGUCUAACAUCUAUGCGAGUGUUUGGGUGUCAAGCCCGAGCGCGUAAUGAAAGUGAACGGAGGUGGGAACCCGCAAGGGUGCACCAUCGACCGAUCCUGAAGUUUUCGGAAGGAUUUGAGUAAGAGCAUGGCUGUUGGGACCCGAAAGAUGGUGAACUAUGCUUGAAUAGGGUGAAGCCAGAGGAAACUCUGGUGGAGGCUCGCAGCGGUUCUGACGUGCAAAUCGAUCGUCAAAUUUGGGCAUAGGGGCGAAAGACUAAUCGAAC
This 835-nucleotide ribosomal RNA is filed under the name Stemphylium vesicarium. RNAcentral describes it as "eukaryotic LSU rRNA". It matches the Rfam family "Eukaryotic large subunit ribosomal RNA", at positions 87 to 940 of the family's 3401-position model. The record is from RNAcentral. Lineage: Eukaryota; Fungi; Ascomycota; Dothideomycetes; Pleosporales; Pleosporaceae.